UAUAAGCGGAGGAAAGGAAACCACCUGGGAUUCCUUUUGUAACGGCGAGCUAACAGGGAACAGUUCAGCGCCGAAUUCCAAGUCCGCACGGACGUUUGGAAAAUAUGGCGUUUAGGAGUAAACAUGCCGGAGGUUGGCCGUGCAGCAAGUCCACAUGACCGGUGCUGUAACCCUCAGCGUGUGCGAGGGCCAUAGUUGCUAGGUCUCCUCCGGAUGCGCCCUCUCGGGAGUCGGGUUGCUUGGGAGUGCAACACUAGUCGGGUGGUAAACUCCACCUAAGACUAACUACGGCCGUGAGGCCGAUAGCAAACAAGUGCCGCGAGGGAAAGUUGCAAAGAAAUUUGAAGAGAGAUUUGAAGAGUACGUGAAACUGAUCAGAGUUAAACGGGUGCGCUCUCGAAAUCCUGUGGCGGCGGGAUUCAGUSAGAAGAGGCGGAGGUGUUUGUCGGUUGAUCGAAACGGGAAAGGCGGCACGGUCUCCGCUUCGCCUGACGCAUUUCCUCCCGCACGAAGGACGCGCCGCAGCCGGUUGUGUAGCUGCGCGAUUCGGCCUUAAGGGCGAGCAACGGAAGGUGGCCGGUGGCGUCGCAUCCGCUUCGCCGCCGGUUGUUAGCCAGCUCGUCCGUGGCGCGACAACCGACCGAGGUCAGAAAGGUCCCUUUCCCGCGACUCGCCGCCUCACUCUCUGAGUGGCCGGCGCGUCGAGGCUGCCUGUGGCCCAAGAGAACCACGGCGGGUUCCGGCGGCUCGCGGCGAGUAGGUCGGUUACCCACUCGACCC
RNAcentral lists this ribosomal RNA (780 nucleotides) under Kukulcania hibernalis. Its description in RNAcentral is "eukaryotic LSU rRNA". It matches the Rfam family "Eukaryotic large subunit ribosomal RNA", at positions 45 to 487 of the family's 3401-position model. The record is from RNAcentral. Lineage: Eukaryota; Metazoa; Arthropoda; Arachnida; Araneae; Filistatidae.